UGCAGAUGAUGUAAAAGAAUAUUUGCUAUCUUAAUACCAUUGAUGACAAUUUUCCCACCAAGAUCGCUGAUGCA
Small nucleolar RNA from Amphilophus citrinellus (Midas cichlid), 74 nucleotides. Its record names the gene SNORD24. It matches the Rfam family "Small nucleolar RNA SNORD24". Rfam says of the family: U24 is a member of the C/D class of snoRNA which contain the C (UGAUGA) and D (CUGA) box motifs. C/D box snoRNAs have been shown to act as methylation guides for a number of RNA targets. The record is from Ensembl. NCBI's taxonomy places the organism in Eukaryota, Metazoa, Chordata, Actinopteri, Cichliformes, Cichlidae.